UAGAUACUCCCUUCGUUUGGAAUUACUUGUUGCACAAAUGGAUAAAAAUGAAUGUAUCUAGAUCUAAAAUACAUGUAGAUACAUCCAUUCAUGUGGCAAGUAUUUUCGAACAAAGGGAGUAUGUA
This is a non-coding RNA of Hordeum vulgare subsp. vulgare (domesticated barley), 125 nucleotides long. NCBI's taxonomy places the organism in Eukaryota, Viridiplantae, Streptophyta, Magnoliopsida, Poales, Poaceae. The record is from Rfam.